This 466-nucleotide ribosomal RNA is filed under the name uncultured bacterium. RNAcentral's name for it is "partial 16S ribosomal RNA". It matches the Rfam family "Bacterial small subunit ribosomal RNA", at positions 28 to 507 of the family's 1533-position model. The record is from RNAcentral.
GAUGAACGCUGGCGGCGUGCUUAACACAUGCAAGUCGAACGGAAAGGCCCAAGCUUGCUUGGGUACUCGAGUGGCGAACGGGUGAGUAACACGUGGGUGAUCUGCCCUGCACUUCGGGAUAAGCCUGGGAAACUGGGUCUAAUACCGGAUAGGACCACAUUUUGGAUGGUGUGGUGGAAAGUUUUUCGGUGUGGGAUGAGCUCGCGGCCUAUCAGCUUGUUGGGGGGGUAAUGGCCUACCAAGGCGUCGGCGGGUAGCCGGCCAGUGGGGGUGUACGGCCACAUUGGGUCCUAGGGGCGGCACAGGCGCCUAAGGGAGGCAGCAGUGGGGAAUAUUGCACCAUGGGCGCAGGGCGGGUGAAGCGACGCCGCGUGGGGGAUGACGGCCUUCGGGUUGAAGACUCCCUUCGCGAGGGACGAAGCGUUAUGUGACGGUACCUGGAGAAGAAGCACCGGCUAACUACGUG